RNAcentral lists this long non-coding RNA (1233 nucleotides) under Cricetulus griseus (Chinese hamster). RNAcentral's name for it is "lncRNA (ENSCGRG00015037027.1)". The record is from RNAcentral. Lineage: Eukaryota; Metazoa; Chordata; Mammalia; Rodentia; Cricetidae.
AAACAGGAAGCAUCCCUUUUUCCCCAUUCACCUCCUCUGGAGGCAAGAUGUGAGCCACCUGCAAGGAGGGACGCCAAUAAGGCACCCGAUAAGAUAAGUCUUAUAAAAUAUAUAGAUGUAUGAUAAUUGAGACUGAGCUAACGGAUGAGAAUCCUAGUCAUUGAACAAGCAGUAUUGUACCUAAUACAAGUUUCUGUGUAUUCAUUUGGGCCCUAACUCAGGCGGGGGCUGGUAAAAAGCUUCCACGUGGUGGUGGGGCUCAGCGGCUUUUGGCAAAAAGAUUUAUCAUAACAGAAUGGUGUCAGUGAGCAGGAUCACCACAUGUGCCAAGGUUCCCAGAGAAAGGGGUAAACCUGCCACCACAGCCUGCCCUGUGGGGACACUGAGAGGUAUUGGAGCAGCUUCCAUAUGCUUGAACUCUCCCGGUGCUUCUGGAGUUUAGACUUGGCACUCCCAAGAUGAUAAAGACAGAUCCAGACAAAGAGAAACCUCUUAACGUUUACAUUGCAUUUAAAAAUAUAUGUAUGUUUGAGAGAGAAAAAGUAACAGGAGGAAAUAGACUAGCCCAUUGUGGUGGCCAACACUGAUAGGAUUUGCUGAAGGAAGCAGAGACAGGCAGAUUUCCACAGAGAAACCCUGUCUCAGAAAAAAGAAACAAAAGGAAGUAAAAGUAGAAUAGUAAAAAAGCCACCUAGAGAUGAAAAAUACACAAAGAAUCUAGAUGCUUUAUGGCAUAUUGUUAUCUCUAAAUUGUUUGAUUGCCGAGGAAAGACUUACUGCUACUAAGAUACAUUUGAUUAUAAAUGCUGCUAAAUUAAUCCAACUUAUACAUUUUAAAAAAUUUAAGUCUAAGGACAGGCUACUUAGAAAUAAAGGUUUUGCUUGUCUUUCCACAGAAAAUCAAAAGCUGUUGAUUCCUUCCAAACUAAUAUGGUUUGACCAAGCAAGACCCCCUGAAGCUGAGAUGAUACAGCCUUACAGACUACAAAAACAAGGACUUGGUCAGGUUUCUAUGAAUUCUAAUGUGAGAAAACAAGAGCAACAGCUUGGACAUACUUUUCCAAUCCUUUAAAUGCUCUAUCUGGAGUAGACUUUUUCUGGCUUCCAAAUGUGUCCUGGAGGAAUAUUCAGGGAUAGGAACACCGCUUAGUAGAAGGCAUGUGUUUACCACAUAUUGGGCCCUAGAUAUUUUCUUUAGAAUCAUUUACUAACCCCAAAACACUGUGUAGGGCC